AAAUGGAUCGAGAAUCAUGUUUCGUAGCUUUUCUGAACAACAUUACAGAUUGGAAGACCUACAUAAUGCAGCGAGCAAAACACAGCAGCAGCAAGCAGUUGUUCGACUUAUUUCAUGGAGGGGGGCACAUCGAAUCGGAUAUUUUAUUUCGAAGAAAAAUAAAUGAAAAUGCAACAGUUGCAGACGAAAACGGCAGUAUUUAUUUGUCGAUGCUCGGAAAAAUAAUAUGCAUCUUGAACAUAUCCGUAAAGUUAUUCGUGGUCAUAGUGAUAUGAAGCGAACCGUGCAGAGAGUUUUGCAGUGAUGAAAUUGUAUGCUAACGUUCCGGUGCUGCAUCAUAUCGUCUCGUGAUGUGCGGUUGGAAAUAAGACCGAUGCCGUUCCAACGAAUCCAACGAUAUACUGAUAGCGUGUAGGAACCAGAACAAUUGAAGGUUAUCAAAAUUGAUUCAAGGUCAAUUCCUGCGAACAUGAGUGAACACCAGUUUUUGACUGAAGUGGCGUGUUUCAACACAAAAAGUAACCACCACCAGCAUCGCUAUGUGGAUUUACAAACGGAUCCUAUAUACUAUGACUUUCAUCAUGACAUAGUCUCCGGAUAUUGUUCAUGGGAGGUCUAAAUGUUCAUCUAUUACCAAGGACCGUUAGUAUUGAAAAUUGGAAUGAUUGCGAUAGCAUUUUGUCAGCCCAUUCGCGCUAAAUAAUUGCUAUUUGUGUAAUAAUAUGCUGAGAUGUUUAUAUUAUUGUGAAACUCUCAAAAAUAUUUCGAGAUAGUAGAGCGGUCUUCGUAAGUUAGGUGAUUUUGUUAUAGAUAACGAUUUAUAAUUGUUAUAUUUUUCAUAAUGCCCAGAAAUCAUUGAUUUCUUCA
Long non-coding RNA from Toxorhynchites rutilus septentrionalis, 867 nucleotides. RefSeq lists it as uncharacterized. NCBI's taxonomy places the organism in Eukaryota, Metazoa, Arthropoda, Insecta, Diptera, Culicidae. The record is from RefSeq and is a predicted model, not a curated record. The transcript is spliced from 3 exons.